Molecule: non-coding RNA, 6402 nt
Organism: Misgurnus anguillicaudatus (oriental weatherfish)
Lineage: Eukaryota; Metazoa; Chordata; Actinopteri; Cypriniformes; Cobitidae
Source: RefSeq, a predicted model, not a curated record
AUCUUUUUGCUGAUUCACUCCUUUUAAAGAGAGUUUGAAUUCCUCUUUUACAUAUAAAUUAACCUCUGUCAGGAAAAAACAGACUAUAACUAUUGAACUGCAGUUCGGUGUCUCUGUCAUUCUUGGUCCCUGAAUCUAGAGACCUGCACUACCGCAAGACUACCGCAGAACCCGACGCAACCAAGUGCGACAAUGUGGUGGCUGACGCCUCCUCCUCUCUACUCCCCUCGCCGCUCUUCUCCCUCCCUUAUGCUCAGUUCGGUGUGUGUCUCCUCAUUCAAAGGGCGCAAGGGUGGGAACAAGUCGUCCAACAAAGCAUGUUACAGCGCCGACAUGACUUGCCCGUCGGAAAGCGAGAAGAUCGUCAUCAACUGCGGCGGCGUGAGGCACGAGACGUACCGGAGCACGCUAAAGACGCUGCCCGGUACGCGGCUCUCGUGGCUCACUGAGCCGGACGCGUUCAGCAACUUCGACUACGACCCGAAGUCCGACGAGUUCUUCUUCGACCGACACCCGUCAGUCUUCUCCUUCAUCCUCAACUACUACAGGACGGGCAAGUUGCACUGUCCCAACGACGUCUGCGGGCCGCUGUUCGAGGAGGAGCUCGCCUUCUGGGGCAUCGACGAGACGGACGUGGAGGCGUGCUGCUGGAUGAACUACCGGCAGCAUCGGGACGCGGAGGAGGCGCUGGACAGCUUCGAGAACCCCGAGCCGGAGGUACCGGAGGACGACCCGGCGGUGGCGGGGGACGAGGAUCUAAAGCGACUUUGUCUGCAGGAGGACGGCAGGAAGGCGGGCUGGUGGCGCGUUUGGAGACCGAGGAUCUGGGCGCUUUUCGAGGACCCCUAUUCAUCCAAAUACGCGCGGUAUGUGGCGUUUGGAUCCCUACUCUUCAUCCUUAUCUCCAUUUCCACGUUUUGCAUGGAGACGCACGAAGCCUUCAACACCAUCUACAACAGAACUGAGAACGUUACAGAGGGGAACGUCACGAAAGAGGAGAUCGUGUACGAAGUGGUGACGGACAGUUGGCUGACGUACGUGGAGGGCGUGUGCGUGAUCUGGUUCACCAUCGAGGUUUUCACGCGUGUCGUCUUCUGUCCCGACAAGGCAGAGUUCUUCAAAAACGCUUUGAACAUCAUCGACUUCGUGGCCAUCUUGCCCUUCUACCUUGAGGUCGGCCUGAGCGGCCUCUCCUCCAAAGCGGCGAAAGACGUGCUGGGCUUCCUUCGGGUGGUGCGAUUCGUCCGAAUUCUGCGUAUCUUCAAGUUGACCCGUCACUUCGUGGGCCUUCGCGUUCUCGGACACACGCUCCGCGCCAGCACCAACGAGUUCCUCCUUCUAAUCAUCUUCCUCGCCCUCGGAGUUCUCAUCUUUGCCACCAUGAUCUACUACGCCGAGAGGAUAGGAGCGAGUCCGGACGACCCCACGGCGAGCGCGCACACCAACUUUAAAAACAUCCCAAUUGGUUUCUGGUGGGCUGUGGUGACCAUGACUACGCUGGGCUACGGAGAUAUGUACCCUGAGACGUGGUCAGGGAUGCUGGUGGGGGCGCUGUGUGCCCUCGCGGGUGUGCUGACUAUUGCCAUGCCCGUGCCCGUGAUUGUGAAUAACUUUGGCAUGUAUUAUUCGCUGGCCAUGGCCAAGCAGAAGUUGCCCAAAAAGAAGAAUAAACACAUCCCGCGAGCACCCCAACCCGGCUCGCCCAAUUACUGUAAGCCGGAUGCCCUCGCCAUGGCCACGGCCUCGCCACAGAGGAUCCUGGGUAAUGUGCUGGGUGGAUUAGGUGGACUUACUGGAGACAUAGGAUGCCCUCUUGCUCAGGAGGAAAUCAUAGAGAUUAACAGAGACUCAAAGCAGAAUGGUGACGCUGCCAGCGCCGCUUUAGCGAACGAAGACUGUCCGACGAUCGAUCAGGUACUAAGUCCAGAAGAGCGCAGCCCGAUGGGCCGAACGAGAGAACGGUAUCAGCAGGACCGAGCCUGUUUCCUCCUCAACACACGAGAUUUUCGACCCGCUGAUGGGAAUGUGAGGAAAGACAGACACUGGGAUAUUUGGACAGACUCACAGACAGACUGACGUUGAGAAGGCCGCCAUUGCAGCGCAAGUGUUUCUAAUGCGUGACUGUGGUGUUAAGUUUCUAGCGUUUGGCAAAUCUUUUAAGGAGACACACAGUUAGUCGCUGAAUCCUGAAAAUUUUGCCGACGGGCCGCACCAUCCACACUGGACAUGUGAGGAAUGUCGGAGUGGCAAGAGAAUGCGAGUGACUGGAAAAAAUAAGGAGUACGGACGGAUCUUCACACGGUAACCAAAGCAACCUCACCGAAAUUCCGGAUCGCUCCUCUUCCUAAAGACAGACUGACUCUGAACACCGACACAAAAGACUCGAAAGGAAAACAUUCCAGUGUUUCUCAUCUGCCGUUUAGGAUCAAAACAUCAGAUGAUUUGACUGCCACACUGACCUGGGCCCUGACUUUCUGUAUAUUCAUCUAUAUGUGAGAAUGAAGGACCAAGUUAGAAUAAUUAUGUAGCAUUUCUGCUAAGACCCUGUAGCAUUUCUUGGCUGGGAGAAUCUCCAACAACCUUUUUAAAGACAUUGACCGUUUGCACAGAAUGACUAAACAUGGCUUAGUCAUGCACAACUUUUUUCUUAUCGUCCCCACUCAGCAUUUUCGCAGCGAAACGUGUUUGUGCUUUGCCGUGUGGUAGUUUCCAUUCGCUGUCUGAGAAAAACGUCCAAGUCUUAGAUUAGCUUUUUUCUAUUUGAAACGGGGGAAGCGAAACUCGAGCAUUGCUAUUCCCAAAACAGUCUUCCAGUUUUUCCCCCGAGUUUAGGGGAGGCGACGUCGAAAACACAAUGCGACCCGACACACCAAAGCCCACUUCCUAUAACCAAAUAAUGUACGGCACAGAUUAUCCCUGCCGGAUCUCAACGUUCUGGCGAAUUUUAGAUAGGGUAUGUCCCUUUAAAUAUGAAGAGAGAUUGGCUGUACUGCCGGGGUAAACCCCCCAAAACCUCAAAUUGAGGAUUUUCGAUUUCCAUAUUAAGCCUCUCUUGUUCCUAGAAUUAUUUUUUUGUAAUGGUAUGAUUUAUUUUGUAAUUUAGUCGAGCUAAUGCUGCCAUAGAUUGUGCACACGCAAAAGUGCUUGGACCAAUAACAAGCGUAAGUUUGUUUACUUUGUUUCAUGUUUUUCGAAAGAGGGUACGCAAAGAUGUUCUUAAACGCUCCCUUUCUAAAAUAAAAAAUAUCGUCUACGUAAGACUUAAAACUAUAACUGCCUUCAGAGUUUCCCUCCGUCAUCGUCUCGUCUCCUAUUGGCUUGAUGUCUCUCACUGUUGUUCCUUCUUGACCAAUCGGAGGGGGGAGCGUUCUACGAGGUCACGCCAAACCAAUCAAGGAGAAUAAAUGUACAAAAAGAACAUAUUUAUAUAUUUUGAUAUGUAGUUGCAAAACAUCUCCAUGGUGAUGCCGCAGAUGUUGGAAUGCGACAAAUGCGAUCGUUUCGGCUUACGCUAAGAACUUGAAUAACGAAAAAUAAAUAAAGGAUGCUCUAUGCGCAAAAUAGAUCAUCAAAAGAGAUUUCCUCAUAGACUGUGAGAAAAUGGAUGUCAAAAUAUGAACAAAAAACCAACAUGGAGAUAGAAAAAAAAUGCAUUUUUGUAACUUUGUUUACCAGCAUGAAACCUUUGCAUGAGUGUAUUUUCUGCGAGCCCUUAGUUGAAGUGAGGAGGGCUAAAAUAAUAAAAAAUAUUAAUAAUAAAUAUGUUAAUAAAAUACAAAAAAUCAUGAUAUGCAAUGGAUAUUUAAGAAAAAGAAUAUAUUUAAAAGAGCUAUAUUUUGUUUCGAAAUAGGAAGAAAAUGUGAAUAAAUUCUGCGAGCUUUUAUUAGUUUAAAAAAAUGCCACCUAAAUCUGUUCUGCUACAUACUGCCCCAUGUACCGUUCCUGUUUGCUUUACAUGUUUCAUUUGUUCCAUCAAAACCCUACCCCAUGUAUUUUUUGGGUUGUGUAUGCAGAAGGGGGCUCGUUUUUAAUCCCGAAAUGUUCGUCUUAGUUUCCUCUGUAGCCAUGGUAACAACUGUGCCCCUCUGUAAGUGGGAUACGGCUUUUUUCCCAGCAUGCUUGGGGGCCGAUUGCGUUUCAUCACGUCUCGGUUUCACUUCAGUUUCUCUCAUUGGCAAUAAUACGAAUGAUGAUCCAGAGAUCUUCUCAAUGGAUUUUGUAGCACGGCAAAGAGGAGAAUGGUAAUAAUCUCAGCAUCUUCCUUACGAAUGGAUACAGUACGGAAAACCGGCGUACUAUUAUCUCAGGUGAAAUAUGAGAAAGAUCCGCACCAGACUUCUGCCUGCCUGGUUGCCAUUGCUUGUCUCUCUGAUUCACAUCUUUAAACACCCGAUAAACGGUUGGACAAGCACAGUUAUCUCUUGGGUGUUGAUGGAUUUCUCAUUGAAGCAGGAGGUUGCAUGCGGUAGCCAACAGCCAGUUUUUGACACAUGCAGGCCUGCAAAAGCACAGCUGAAAUAAAGCAAUGAAUAAAUCCAAUGUUACUUGGGAAAGUACGUGAUGCGUGAGCAUUAGACGAACGAAUACACAGCACUGAGCCAUGAUUUGAGUAUGGGUAUUGUCUUUGGGUAUUCCUAAACAUUUGUUUACAUCCAUCAUUGUAGCACUGCAGCGAUUGAUAGCAUCACAUGCUGAUUUAUUUGUAGAAACUUCAAAUAAGGGUGUUUAAAACAAUCUUAAAUGAGAUACAAAGAUCCUAUGCAAGGCACGGUAGCAUAUGUGAAGGGCAAAUUAUAUGUGAUACACGUUUUGCAUACUAUGCUUAUUGUUGGCGUUGGAAAAAAUUGUUGAAUCUUCUUUAUUUUUAAGUCGCUUUUGGAUAAAGGUGUCUGCUGAAUAAGUUACUAUGUAACAAACAUUGCAGAUGUGAAUAUCAAAGAGAAGCAGAACUCCCAGACAGCAGACGACUCCGGGCCGGAUCCGGCCCAGAUUCGUCUGCGUUAGAGAUAUUGGUGCUAGUGGAUAUAAAAGUGAAAUGCGACCCUGUCUGUGAAAUCCAGGUUAAAGAUCGGUUUGAUUUUUAGUUAUUGAUUAUUGAUCUUACUCGAGGUUAUAUAUAUAUAUUUUUUACUUUAUGUAGGAUGAGUUAAUAUGUAAAAAUGACUUUAGGUGGGUUUUCACAGACUAGGUCACAAAUAUGAAAGGUCAGAAAGUUAAGGAUACGUGUACACUUGAAUAAAUCUCCUGACUUUGUUAACCCACACUGUAAAAACAAAUACAGCGUGAAGUUAAAACAACUUGGUUUUGCAAGUCAAUUCAACAUAAUAUUUUAAGUUUUGACCUGUGAAUAGUUGACAUAACUUAUAAAAAGUUAAUUUUUUAAGUUAAAGUAGCAUAAAAAUAUAUGUUGAUUUGACAAAAUGCUGCAUUUUUUUUACAGUCAGUUACUGUAUAUGGAAAGCGUCUGUGAAAGAUGAACAAAGGUGAAAAGAUGAAUAUGAGAGAGUUUGUGAAGGUUGAAGCAGGCAGCGGUCUGGUGUCAUAGCAGAGGGACACUUUGAGUUUUUAGGUCUGCUGAUAUUGAUAUGUGAAGCGCACAGGACGGAGAUGAAAAUUUGAUCUUUAGGAGGAAGACGAUAUGACACGGCUUAUAUUUUCGAAACCUUUGAAAGCGGAAACCAGAUGUCUUCGUGUCGUUGGGUCACUGGGUUCAUUCCCACCCCAGAAUGAAACCUUAUAGCCCAAAUAGGUCUUUAUUUUACAUUUCCAGAGUUGUGCAUAUUUAUAGUUUUAUAAACUUUAUUUUGUUUAUAAUUACUGAUUUAUUGAAAUGAUUUAUAUUUUCUACAGAGUUUCGUUCUUCGCUUUUUCCCAUAUCAGAGGUUGUUCAUAUUUUUAUGACCACUUUGUUCACACGCACACACAGACACACACAUAUAUAUAAAUAUAAAUAAAAAAGCCUGCUGGUUUUAUUUUAGAAGGCAUUAAGACCACUUUGGUCCAAGGGUCACAAAGUAAUGCAGAAUAAAUAUUUUAAAGCAUGCUCUUCCAGCAAAAACACAUAUCCGCACUAGGCCUGACGUGUCACAUCAUGAGAGAUUUUGUUUUAUUCCUAAACCUGUUCAUUCAUUUCAUUUUCUUUAAAGUUAAAAUGGUCUUCUUUUUUAUGUUUUGAUGUACAUUUGAAACCACACUGCCCUCUUUAAUGAUCUGGAAUGGUAGAUCUGUCUGCAUUUCUUUCGUUGUGCCUGCUCUUGUAUUCAGUGUCUGAUCGAUCAUUCCUCUCUUGUGAAUUACGUUUUAUUUGAUGUACUUGAAUUACAGAUAUGCAAUCACCACCUCUCUGACCACUGCCAAUCAUCCCGAUCAAUAAUCAAUAUGAUUAAAGUGAUUAACAACCUU